Molecule: ribosomal RNA, 785 nt
Filed under: uncultured archaeon
Lineage: Archaea
Description: bacterial SSU rRNA
Rfam family: Archaeal small subunit ribosomal RNA
Source: RNAcentral
ACUGCUCAGUAACACGUAGCUAACCUAACCUAAAGUCAGAGAUACCCUCGGGAAACUGAGAAUAAACUCUGAUAGAAAAUUAUUUCUGGAAUGAUUAAUUUUUUAAAUUCGAGCUUUAGGAUGGGGCUGCGGCUGAUUAGGUAGUUGUUGGUGUAAAGGACUAACAAGCCAAUGAUCAGUAAGGGCUCUUAGCGGAGGAGCCCUGAGAAGGAAUCUGAGACACUAUUCCUAGCUCUACGGGGUGCAGCAGUCGAGGAAAUUCUGCAAUGCGCGCAAGCGUGACAGAAUGAGCCAGAGUGUUUGAUUUUCAUCAAACUUUUGUAUGUUGUAAAAAGACAUGCGAAUAAGGACUGGGCAAGACCGGUGCCAGCCGCCGCGGUAAUCCCGGCGGUCCAAGUCGCAUCCACAAUUAUUGGGUCUAAAACAUUCGUAGCUUGCUUUGUAAGUUUCUUGUGAAAUCUGGUAUCUUAAGUGCCAGGCGCGCAAGAAGUACUGCAAGGCUAGAGACCGGAAGACGCAAAGAGUAUGAUUGAGGUAGCGGUAAAAUGUUUUGAUCUCAAUCAGACUAACAAUGGCGAAGGCACUUUGCGAGCACGGAUCUGACAGUGAGGAAUGAAGGCUAGGGGCGCAAAAGGGAUUAGAUACCCCUGUAGUCCUAGCAGUAAACACUGCUCACUAAACAUUAGUACCUCCUCGAGAGGUAUUAGUGCUGUAGGGAAGCCGGAGAGUGAGCUACCUGGGAAGUAUAGUCGCAAGGCCGAAACUUAAAGGAAUUGGCGGGGGAG